RNAcentral lists this ribosomal RNA (406 nucleotides) under uncultured bacterium. RNAcentral describes it as "partial 16S ribosomal RNA". It matches the Rfam family "Bacterial small subunit ribosomal RNA", at positions 30 to 526 of the family's 1533-position model. The record is from RNAcentral.
AUUGAACGCUGGCGGCAGGCCUAACACAUGCAAGUCGAGCGAGCGGCGGACGGGUGAGUAAUGUAUGGGGAUCUGCCCGAUAGAGGGGGAUAACUACUGGAAACGGUAGCUAAUACCGCAUACCAUCAGAUGUGCCCAGAUGGGAUUAGCUAGUAGGUGGGGUAAUGGCUCACCUAGGCGACGAUACCUAGCUGGUCUGAGAGGAUGACCAGCCACACUGGAAAUGGGAACCGGUCCGGACUCCUACGUGAGGCCGCAGUGGGGAAUAUUGCACAAUGGGCGCAAGCCUGAUGCAGCCAUGCCGCGUGGGUGAAGAAGGCCUUCGGGUUGUAAAGCACUUUCAGCGAGGAGGCGUUACUCGCAGAAGAAGCACCGGCUAACUCCGUGCCAGCAGCCGCGGUAAUUC